ACGCUGGCGGCGUGCCUAAUACAUGCAAGUCGAGCGAACGGACGAGAAGCUUGCUUCUCUGAUGUUAGCGGCGGACGGGUGAGUAACACGUGGAUAACCUACCUAUAAGACUGGGAUAACUUCGGGAAACCGGAGCUAAUACCAGAUAAUAUUUUGAACCGCAUGGUUCAAAAGUGAAAGGCGGUCUUGCUGUCACUUAUAGAUGGAUCCGCGCUGCAUUAGCUAGUUGGUAAGGUAACGGCUUACCAAGGCAACGAUGCAUAGCCGACCUGAGAGGGUGAUCGGCCACACUGGAACUGAGACACGGUCCAGACUCCUACGGGAGGCAGCAGUAGGGAAUCUUCCGCAAUGGGCGAAAGCCUGACGGAGCAACGCCGCGUGAGUGAUGAAGGUCUUCGGAUCGUAAAACUCUGUUAUUAGGGAAGAACAUAUGUGUAAGUAACUGUGCACAUCUUGACGGUACCUAAUCAGAAAGCCACGGCUAACUACGUGCCAGCAGCCGCGGUAAUACGUAGGUGGCAAGCGUUAUCCGGAAUUAUUGGGCGUAAAGCGCGCGUAGGCGGUUUUUUAAGUCUGAUGUGAAAGCCCACGGCUCAACCGUGGAGGGUCAUUGGAAACUGGAAAACUUGAGUGCAGAAGAGGAAAGUGGAAUUCCAUGUGUAGCGGUGAAAUGCGCAGAGAUAUGGAGGAACACCAGUGGCGAAGGCGACUUUCUGGUCUGUAACUGACGCUGAUGUGCGAAAGCG
This 746-nucleotide ribosomal RNA is filed under the name uncultured bacterium. RNAcentral's name for it is "bacterial SSU rRNA". It matches the Rfam family "Bacterial small subunit ribosomal RNA", at positions 33 to 761 of the family's 1533-position model. The record is from RNAcentral.